UACAGAGGGCUCAAGCGUUAAUCGGAAUCACUGGGCUUAAAGGGUCCGCAGGCGGAUUGGAAAGUAUCUUGUGAAAUACCACGGCUCAACCGUGGAACUGCUCGGUAAACUUCCAAUCUUGAACACGGUAGGGGCCAUCGGAACUCUAGGUGGAGCGGUGAAAUGCGUAGAUAUCUAGAGGAACGCCAGAGGCGAAGGCGGAUGGCUGGGCCGUUGUUGACGCUCGAGGGAACGGAAAGCAGUAGGGGUAGUCGAACGGGAUUCGAGAGUACCCGGACGUC
This 281-nucleotide ribosomal RNA is filed under the name uncultured bacterium. RNAcentral describes it as "partial 16S ribosomal RNA". It matches the Rfam family "Bacterial small subunit ribosomal RNA", at positions 524 to 795 of the family's 1533-position model. The record is from RNAcentral.